GGAAAGCUUACCAGGACAAAACAUAAGAAGGAUUGACAGACUGAUCGCUCUUUCUUGAUUUUAUGGGUGGUGGUGCAUGGCCGUUCUUAGUUCGUGGAGUGAUUUGUCUGGUUAAUUCCGUUAACGAACGAGAUCUUAACUUACUAAUUGAAAAAUAUAUUGUAUAUAUUUUUAAAUUUAGAAGGACCAUGUGUACUUAACACAAGGAAGCGUGAGGCAAUAA
This 223-nucleotide ribosomal RNA is filed under the name uncultured eukaryote. RNAcentral describes it as "partial 18S ribosomal RNA". It matches the Rfam family "Eukaryotic small subunit ribosomal RNA", at positions 1208 to 1456 of the family's 1831-position model. The record is from RNAcentral.